CUAGGAUUAGAUGCCCUAUUAUUUAAAAAAACUAAAGUAUUAAUAGAUAUGAGCUUUAAACUUAAAAAAUUUGGCGGUAUUUUAGUCUAUUCAGAGGAACCUGUUUUAUAAUCGAUAAUCCACGUUGGACCUUACUUUAAUUUGUAUAUUAGUUUAUAUACCGUCGUUAUAAAAAAUUUUAUAAGAAUAAUAAUUUUUAAAAUUUUAUAUCAGAUCAAGGUGUAGCUUAUAUUAAAGAUGGGUUACAAUAAAAUUAUUUAUAUGAAUAUAAAAAUGAAAAAUUUAUUGAAAGAGGAUUUGAAAGUAAAAUUAAAUAGAUUUUUAAUUUGAUUUUAGCUCUAAAAUAUGGACAUAUCGCCCGUCACUCUUAUUAUU
Molecule: ribosomal RNA, 375 nt
Filed under: Melaloncha acoma
Lineage: Eukaryota; Metazoa; Arthropoda; Insecta; Diptera; Phoridae
Description: partial 12S ribosomal RNA
Source: RNAcentral